Molecule: ribosomal RNA, 397 nt
Filed under: uncultured bacterium
Lineage: Bacteria
Description: bacterial SSU rRNA
Rfam family: Bacterial small subunit ribosomal RNA
Source: RNAcentral
AACGAACGCUGGCGGCAUGCCUAACACAUGCAAGUCGUGCGAGAAAGUUCCUUCGGGAGCGAGUAAAGCGGCGCACGGGUGAGUAACACGUAGGUAACCUGCCCCCCAGUCUGGAACAACUAGAGGAAACUCUAGCUAAUGCCGGAUGAGACCACGAUCCCUUCGGGGGUUGCGGCCAAAGAUGGCCUCUACUUGUAAGCUAUCGCUGAGGGAUGGGCCUGCGGGCCAUUAGCUUGUUGGUGAGGUAACGGCUCACCAAGGCUGUGAUGGCUAGCUGGUCUGAGAGGAUGACCAGCCACACUGGGACUGAGACACGGCCCAGACUCCUACGGGAGGCAGCAGUGGGAAUAUUGCGCAAUGGGCGAAAGCCUGACGCAGCGACGCCGCGUGGGUGAUG